Molecule: ribosomal RNA, 357 nt
Filed under: uncultured bacterium
Lineage: Bacteria
Description: bacterial SSU rRNA
Rfam family: Bacterial small subunit ribosomal RNA
Source: RNAcentral
GGGCCCGCACAAGCGGUGGAGUAUGUGGCUUAAUUCGAUGCAACGCGAAGAACCUUACCUGGCCUUGACAUGCAUCUCUAAGUGUGUGAAAGCACAUGACCCCUCGGGGAAUUUGCACAGGUGCUGCAUGGCUGUCGUCAGCUCGUGUCGUGAGAUGUUGGUUAAGUCCCGCAACGAGCGCAACCCUUAUGUUUUGUUGCCACUUUCGCUUCGGCGGAAAGCACUCUAAACAGACUGCCUCGUCUCAACGAGGAGGAAGGUGGGGAUGACGUCAAGUCAGUAGUGGCCCCUUACGGCCAGGGCUGCACACGUACCUACAAUGCCCAGUACAAUGGGAAGCAAUACCCGCGAGGUGGG